UUUAAUUGCUAUAGAUAUUGGACAAGUUCAUAAUGCCAUCUACCAAAAAAGCAUCUCCAUGUUAGAGAUAAUGGUAUAAUCUUAUCUAUACUAAUUCAUCAUGAUAAAAAUGAUGACCCAAAAUGAUAAGAUUCAUUUAAUUGAUGAGUAGAUGUUUAAUUAUUUAAUUAUAGCUUAUAUUUGAAUUUUCAUGGAAUAAGUUGAUUGGAAAGAAAGAACUAUGGGACACCUUUUAUCAAUCGGCUUUGCUGGGGCCCCUCUAAAGCGACUCCUUCUCCCUAGGCUAUAUGUUGUGGGGAAUUUAGCUUCAACAGAAUGCAUGUGUCUUUGAGAACCAAUGACAACAAAGGGAUGCGAUUAGACGAGUGAUAGAAGGAGCUGGAGAUUUCUUCACUCUAUCCUCAUCCAUCAACCUUUAUAGCUGGUUGUUACUUUAAGCUUAGCAGAGAGGGAUCUUCAAUGGACAACCCCAAGAUAAUGGGUGCCGGUGGAAGGAAAAUGAAUCAUUGGAGCAUAUAGACAUUUCGAAAGCAACUAAUGCCGAAACUGAGUUGUAGGCACUUAGGGACAAACUACUCAUGGCUUGCAACCUAAAUAUUAGGCAUGGAAAUAGAUGCAAACUAUUGAUAUUAAUUCUCUAUUUCUCUUUUGUCUCUCUCAUUGAUGAAUGUAAUUAGAUUUAUGAGAUCCAAAUUAUUAAUUAAUAAUAAAAAUAUAUAUUGAAACUAAACUUAAUUAUGAUAUAUAUAUAAUAUUGUAAAACUAUUUUGUAUUACUAUAAAUAAUAUAUUAAUUAAUGUUUAAAAAAAAAUCCAAAAACAGCCUCUAAAAAUUGAAAUUCAAAUGCACUUAAAAACAGGAAAUGAAGGUGGAAAAACAAAAAGAUGAAGAUGGACGACUUUGUAAGCAAUAUUCAUAUGUAGAUAAAUCUCAAACAAAAAGACAAAAAAAAACACUAAAAAAGACAAAAAUUCC
RNAcentral lists this long non-coding RNA (975 nucleotides) under Gossypium barbadense (sea-island cotton). RNAcentral's name for it is "long non-coding RNA (GBAR_LNC019268)". Lineage: Eukaryota; Viridiplantae; Streptophyta; Magnoliopsida; Malvales; Malvaceae. The record is from RNAcentral.